GCCUUCGUAGUGUAAUGGUCAGCACAUUCGGUGCGUAUUCGAGAGGUCCGAGGUUCGAGUCCCGGUGAGGGCA
Molecule: transfer RNA, 73 nt
Filed under: Stegodyphus mimosarum
Lineage: Eukaryota; Metazoa; Arthropoda; Arachnida; Araneae; Eresidae
Rfam family: tRNA
About the family: Transfer RNA (tRNA) molecules are approximately 80 nucleotides in length. Their secondary structure includes four short double-helical elements and three loops (D, anti-codon, and T loops). Further hydrogen bonds mediate the characteristic L-shaped molecular structure. tRNAs have two regions of fundamental functional importance: the anti-codon, which is responsible for specific mRNA codon recognition, and the 3' end, to which the tRNAs corresponding amino acid is attached (by aminoacyl-tRNA synthetases). tRNAs cope with the degeneracy of the genetic code in two manners: having more than one tRNA (with a specific anti-codon) for a particular amino acid; and 'wobble' base-pairing, i.e. permitting non-standard base-pairing at the 3rd anti-codon position.
Source: Rfam by way of RNAcentral